GAUGAACGCUGGCGGCGUGCCUAAUACAUGCAAGUCGAGCGAACGGACGAGAAGCUUGCUUUUCUGAUGUUAGCGGCGGACGGGUGAGUAACACGUGGAUAACCUACCUAUAAGACUGGGAUAACUUCGGGAAACCGGAGCUAAUACCGGAUAAUAUUUUGAACCGCAUGGUUCAAAAGUGAAAGACGGUCUUGCUGUCACUUAUAGAUGGAUCCGCACUGCAUUAGCUAGUUGGUAAGGUAACGGCUUACCAAGGCAACGAUGCAUAGCCGACCUGAGAGGGUGAUCGGCCACACUGGAACUGAGACACGGUCCAGACUCCUACGGGAGGCAGCAGUAGGGAAUCUUCCGCAAUGGGCGAAAGCCUGACGGAGCAACGCCGCGUGAGUGAUGAAGGUCUUCGGAUCGUAAAACUCUGUUAUUAGGGAAGAACUUAUGUGUAAGUAACUGUGCACAUCUUGACGGUACCUAAUCAGAAAGCCACGGCUAACUACGUG
Molecule: ribosomal RNA, 497 nt
Filed under: uncultured bacterium
Lineage: Bacteria
Description: partial 16S ribosomal RNA
Rfam family: Bacterial small subunit ribosomal RNA
Source: RNAcentral